Molecule: ribosomal RNA, 822 nt
Filed under: Platystele acicularis
Lineage: Eukaryota; Viridiplantae; Streptophyta; Magnoliopsida; Asparagales; Orchidaceae
Description: eukaryotic LSU rRNA
Rfam family: 5.8S ribosomal RNA (bases 339-494)
Source: RNAcentral
AUGCGGGCGGUUCGCCGCUCGUGACUCUGCGAGAAGUCCAUUGAACCUUAUCAUUUAGAGGAAGGAGAAGUCGUAACAAGGUUUCCGUAGGUGAACCUGCGGAAGGAUCAUUGUCGAGACCGAAACAUAUCGAGCGAUUCAGAGAACCUGUGAACGAGCGGCGGCGCCAGUCGUCGUGCAUUUGCUGUCUCCGUCGUUAGCAUCGUAAAUGGUGCCACGAUGAGAGGCGGAAGAAAACUAAAACCGGCGCAGCUACGCGCCAAGGAAAUAAAAAUUAGACACGAGCCUGUAUCGGGUUCGGUGGCGUGGAGUGCAAUCGCACCCCACACGGAUAAAACGACUCUCGGCAAUGGAUAUCUCGGCUCUCGCAUCGAUGAAGAGCGCAGCGAAAUGCGAUACGUGGUGCGAAUUGCAGAAUCCCGCGAACCAUCGAGAAUUUGAACGCAAGUUGCGCCCGAGGCCAUCCGGCCAAGGGCACGUCCGCCUGGGCGUCAAGCGUUACGUCACUCCGUGCCAGCUACAUCCCCACCCUCAGGGUGUGUAUGCGGGAGGGUCGGAUGUGCAGAGUGGCUCGUCGUGGCCGCCCCGCGGGCACGGCGGGCUUAAGAGCGGGUGAUCGUCUCGUUGGACACGAACAACAAGGGGUGGAUGAAAAUUGUGCCUGUGUUGUAUCGUGCUGGCAUGAGAAUAGAUUAUACCCAGCGAAUGAUCCCAGCCCAAGCGUCGGUCCACGGACAUCGGCUUGGAAUGCGACCCCAGGAUGGGCGAGGCCACCCGCUGAGUUUAAGCAUAUCAAUAAGCGGAGGAGAAGAAACUUACAAG